This 3703-nucleotide long non-coding RNA is filed under the name Homo sapiens (human). RNAcentral's name for it is "PREDICTED lncRNA (TCONS_00191549)". Lineage: Eukaryota; Metazoa; Chordata; Mammalia; Primates; Hominidae. The record is from RNAcentral.
CAAGUAAAUUACAGAUUGAACUUCUGAAUUGUUUGCAGCCAUUUUUUAUUCCAAACAUGUAUGUUUUUGUAAACCUGACAUUUCCCAAACAGUGCAAGUGAAUCAGAAGUGACUGCUUAGACUUUAAUACACGUGACAUUGUGAGGCAGCACAACCUCCCCCCACCCACCAAAAUUCCUCAGUGGAAAUGUACAUGGAUGCAUCAGUAAAGUUCUGGAAAUGCAGAUAGCGUGGGUGCCUGCCAAGCAAUUAAUCACUCGUAAAGCUUUUAAACUCACUCUGCCAGUCACACCGUGCACAUUAGAAUUAAAACAACAACAUCAACAAAGAAAAAACCUUAACACAGUCUGAAAUCUAGAUCAUUGUGCUAUAAAGCAUUGCACGAUGUUGGGAAAUUUGUUCACUUAUUCCCCCCAUGUGCUGAAAAUUCAGAAGACAUCCUAGAAGUUUCAUUUUGGCCCUACUGGCUCUGUAUUCUCCCUUCAGCCACUCUUUGAAUAUUCUCCACUGUGUAUAUUAUUAUUCUAUAUAUCAAAAUAUCAGCUAAAAGUGUGCAUACUAAAGCAUUUCUGAAAUGAUGCUCACUUUCUGCCUUUUGUCUACUAAAGGCUCCAAGUGACAAUCCUUUCCAGCACCUCUAAAUUUUGAGAAGUUUGAGCCAAGUAUACAGUUCACCAGAUGUACGUUUCACACGUAACCCAGACAUAACUGCAUGCACCUGGCCAUAAUGCCUUACCCAAAAAUAAAAGUCAUAAAUAACCUUUUAAAAAGCCACCAUGCUAGGGUUCAACAGGUAGCAUACAGCACACGGAUCGUCUGGGGAUCUGCUAUGCUUCCGCAUGGAAAACAGGAUGUUCCCAGGAGUGCUGUUGGGUUUUUGUUUUAAACCUCAUUGCCUUUGGCUCAAGGGCAGUAGCUACAUGAUUUGGUGAAGGAGGACUUCCUAGUGGAUCUUCUACAAGGUCUACCAUACCUCUGAGUACCCAUGAUGCUGACAGUUUUCCUAAAGAACUGCCUGAGGAAACCUCAGUGCUGAGUUAUUCGGAAUGGAUGCCUGUCAGUUGCCACUAAGCCAGUGGACCCUGCCCCUCCUGCUAGUGUCCCCUUGUUUCUAAACAUCAUGGCCUCUUCUUUGUGACAGCUCUAUGGCCCACUUGGAGGAUGUUCCAAACUCUCCUGAGUCCUAUGUAAAUUAAGCAUAAGCAAAACUUUUUUUAAAAAAGGGGCACUGUUUUACUCCAUUUUUACAAAGGUCCUUUUUCAUAUUUAAAAACCAUUUCAGUUCUCUGAACAGUUGGUUAAAACCACAUUGAAGAUUCAACUAAAAGCUGAAGGAAACUGAAAUAAUACUGCUCAGGAGAAUAUCUUAUAGGAUUCCACAGUGAAACCAUGGAAGCAGGAAGGGGAGAAAGUAGAACAUACUGUAGAAUUUUCAAAUAAUAUUCUGGAAGGGUAACACAGAUGUACUGAUCCACCCCAUCUGCUUCCCCUGAGAGCAUAGAGAGGGCUUCUGAGCUGGGAAGGAGCUUGUGAACUGCCCAAGUUGAGAGAGCGCUAACGAUAUGCUUGACUUCUCUAUCACUGCACAAAAUGCUUAACUCCCCAGUCCCCGUAGCCCACCUGCUACUCAGCACGAUCAGACCAGCAGAGGCAUCAUCCUUCCCCAGACAGGUUCCUGGGGAGGCUUUCAGUAUCUGCUGGUGGUGAUGCCAAGGCUGGUUUUCUUAAAACCUGCCUUUAUAAAGUCUUAGUGACCUCCUGGGUAUACAGCUGCUCAUGUGGGUCCACCCACGCAGAAUCAAGCAGAAGCAAAUAGGUCCCAGCUCUGAGACUGCCCACAGGAGUCUACCCUUCUCCAGUGGGGCUUUGCUGGUGGGCAGAACAUGGGCCUGCGAAUCACCCUUCUACACUGUCACCAACGCACCUACACCCCGGCAGGAGGCAAGUUAGUUGCUCUAAGUGCAUGUGGCCAAAGCUGUUGAUGGUGCUGUUCCAGAAAUAUCACCUAAGAAUCCUAAAUGAUUCAUUAAAGAAAACAUGGCAUUAUGAACAAGAGUCCAUCAAAGGAAAGCUGCAAAUGGCAUCCCAUUCAAAAAGUCCACAUGCCACUGCAUUUUGCCACCCUGAGGCAAAAUGUCCCUGAAGUGUUCUCUGGGGAACCUCCAGCACCUUGCACAGUGCCUGACACACAGCAGGGGCCUCAUAAAUGGCUGUUAAUAAGUGAUAAAACCCACCCAAGACUGCUUUUCUUGCUGCUUUUGAUAAAACUCAUAAGCGAACUCUGAGUGACAGCUGCUUUCUUUGCCUCGUCCUGCUCCCUGUAGCUACCUCUGUGCCUCCAUCCCACAGUUAGAUGCAACAUCCCUGAUUUCCAGGAUCAGCUUAGUUCAUGCCAUUGACCCUUGAUUUUUUUGGUCUAUUCCCAUGUUCACCAGGAAGAGAAGCAUGAGGUUACAUCUGUAAUCUCCCUGCAGCAGAGUCAACUGCAUAAGAAACCAAAAGACACACCUGCUCCAUGCCAGCCUAAGCCACCACAUAAAAAGUCAGACCAUCUGCUGGAAGAACCACAUGGAGAGGCCCUGAGUCAACAUGGAGAGGAAGAAGGACUUGACUGAAUCCAGCCUUCCAGCUGUCCCUACCAAGGUGCCAGGCAUGAGAAUGAAGCUGUCUUGAACUCUGAAGACCAGCUUAGCCACCAGAUGCCAAACACUGAGCAGGCUUUGUUCUCCACCCACAAACCAGAGGCUGUCUCAGCAGGAAGGAGUUGGAGUUGGAGAAAAAGGAGAAUUAAGAAUCUAUCUGGCGAUGUGGAUUAAAUAAACAACAAAUUGGCAGAUUGUUUUUAAAAGAGAAGUAUGGACUUUGGUGUCAGGAAGUUGCAGUUAUGGUCCCUGGUGCUGUUUUGGAGCUGGGGACACAGUGGAAACAAGGAAGAGACAGACCUUCAUCAGCUAAAGCCUCCAAUACCAUUACUGAUGAAUAGAGAGGCUCUGAAGGAAAAGGACUCCGGGUCUCUGAAAGGAGAGUGUGAGGCAAACAAAUCAUCCUAGACAUGGGGAUGAGGACACCCCUUUCUCCUUGAGAGAGUGAUGCUUGAGGCAGGACAGGUCUGCACCCUGGGCCACCUCCAAAUGAACCACCAUGAGGUUGGGAGAAGUUAUGAUGAAGCUACUCUGGACUGUAGCCCAUCUCAGUUACUCAAGUUUUCUGGUCAGAAAUCUUCCUCACAUUCCUUAGAGGAAAAGAAGGAAGAAUUGUUCUAUAGUUCGCCUUCUGAUCUUUUUUAAGCAAAUGGGAAAUCGCCCCCUUCUGGCAGUUGCUCCCCAGACUUCUGUUUUGGAGUUAGGUUCUCACCAUCCUAUGUUAGGGCUCUAAGGGAAGGUAAGAGAAGAGAGAACUGAGACUUUUGCCUUCACUCUGAAGUGGUCCAAAUCCUCAGUUGUGAAUGGCCUCAAGGGGAGCCAAGAUUCCACUCCCUGCCUGAAGGGUCACUGUCCUUCACUGUACCGGUGCCAUGAAGGAAGCUCUAACAGGAUACUCCUUCUUCCCUGGAAAGGCAGGAGAGCUGGGCAUCUAUGAGUGGGGACCCCAGGGGGACCUGCAAUCACCAGACUCACCUUCCAGAGCAGCACGGCCAGCAGCAGGAAGAUGAGGAUUCCCACCAACAAACUGAUGGCGAUGAUCCACCCCACGACGUAGCCAC